Molecule: ribosomal RNA, 573 nt
Filed under: uncultured Glomeromycotina
Lineage: Eukaryota; Fungi; Glomeromycota
Description: SSU rRNA
Rfam family: Eukaryotic small subunit ribosomal RNA
Source: RNAcentral
UUGGAGGGCAAGUCUGGUGCCAGCAGCCGCGGUAAUUCCAGCUCCAAUAGCGUAUAUUAAAGUUGUUGCAGUUAAAAAGCUCGUAGUUGAAUUUCGGGAUUGACGUGAUGGUCAUGCCUUAAGGGGUAUGAACUGUUACUGUUGAUUUCUCACCUUCUGGAGAAACUUGAUGUCCUUUAUUGGGUGUCUUGCGGGUCCAGGACCUUUACCUUGAAAAAAUUAGAGUGUUUAAAGCAGGCAUUUUUUGCUCGAAUACAUUAGCAUGGAAUAAUAGAAUAGGACGGCAUGGUUCUAUUUUGUUGGUUUCUAGGAUCACCAUAAUGAUUAAUAGGGAUAGUUGGGGGCAUUAGUAUUCAAUUGUCAGAGGUGAAAUUCUUGGAUUUAUUGAAGACUAACCACUGCGAAAGCAUUUGCCAAGGAUGUUUUCACUAAUCAAGAACGAAAGUUAGGGGAUCGAAGACGAUCAGAUACCGUCGUAGUCUUAACCAUAAACUAUGCCGACUAGGAAUCAGACGAUGUUAAUUUUUUAAUGACUCGUUUGGCACCUUACGGGAAACCAAAGUGUUUGGGUUC